CUUCGAGCAAGUGACUUAGCCUGUUUGUACCUCUGGGACAUGGGGACAAUACAGCUACGUACCUCAUAAGUUUGUUUUAAUGAAUAAAUAAUGGUGAAAGAAGAGCUGAAAUUUACUGGAUCUUCCCUAGUAACAGAAGAGCAGAAACAUGGUUCUGGAGGCUGGAAGCGGGCCAUGUCCACAUCAGGCACUUGCAAAGAGCAAGGGGCAGCAGGAUGUUGGGACUGGCCAGACCUGCUCACGGAGGGCUGGGAACAACAGGUGACUGAGGAUGCAUCAGAAAGCUGAGAUUUGCAGUUCUCAAAUGAAGAAGCAGAAUUCACAGUGGGAAGUGGAGUGUUGGGUCAAACAUUGCUUUGGAAGUUAAACCCUCUAACGAAUUACCAGGAUUGGAAAGAGCUUCGGCCUGAAAGAUAGGAGAUCACAACCUUGUCUCAGCAUGCUAGGAACUUGCUAUUUGACUGUGAACAGAGCAAGACUUAUCUACCUUUAAUUUGACC
This 500-nucleotide long non-coding RNA is filed under the name Homo sapiens (human). RNAcentral describes it as "HSALNT0066084". The record is from RNAcentral. Lineage: Eukaryota; Metazoa; Chordata; Mammalia; Primates; Hominidae.